CUGCACCAACUGAGGCCUAUUAAGCGUGUUGCUUUUGAAGGGCCUGUAACAGGGAGGCGUUUCUAUGGCUGCCCAGUCCAGGAAAAUGGUGUGAAUUGUGGUGUUACAGAGUGGGUUGAUGGGCCUUGGCCAACUGUUCUUCAGAGAUAUUUGUGCAAGCUAUGGGAGAUGUUCCAUGAGCAGAACUUUGGAAGGGUACAGGACAAGGAGAAUUUUGAGCAGGAGUUGGCCAGGCUUAAGACUGAAAAUGACAAGCUUUGCAUUGAGUACACCAAGCUUGUUGAUGAUGUAUCGAAGAUGUUUGAUUGGCAGGAUGGUAGGGUGGACAAGAAACAAGUGGAGGAGGAAGAACUUGAGAAGAAGAAGAAGGAGCUAGAGGAGAAAGCCAUGUUGGAGGUGUAG
RNAcentral lists this ribosomal RNA (402 nucleotides) under Triticum aestivum (bread wheat). Its description in RNAcentral is "partial small subunit ribosomal RNA". Lineage: Eukaryota; Viridiplantae; Streptophyta; Magnoliopsida; Poales; Poaceae. The record is from RNAcentral.